CCAAAGUCAUGGUUAAGUGGGAAACGAUGUGGGAAGGCCCAGACAGCCAGGAUGUUGGCUUAGAAGCAGCCAUCAUUUAAAGAAAGCGUAAUAGCUCACUGGUCGAGUCGGCCUGCGCGGAAGAUGUAACGGGGCUAAACCAUGCACCGAAGCUGCGGCAGCGACACUGUGUGUUGUUGGGUAGGGGAGCGUUCUGUAAGCCUGUGAAGGUGUGUCGUGAGGCAUGCUGGAGGUAUCAGAAGUGCGAAUGCUGACAUAAGUAACGAUAAAGCGGGUGAAAAGCCCGCUCGCCGGAAGACCAAGGGUUCCUGUCCAACGUUAAUCGGGGCAGGGUGAGUCGACCCCUAAGGCGAGGCCGAAAGGCGUAGUCGAUGGGAAACGGGUUAAUAUUCCCGUACUUGGUGUUACUGCGAAGGGGGGACGGAGAAGGCUAUGUUGGCCGGGCGACGGUUGUCCCGGUUUAAGCGUGUAGGUGUGUGUUCCAGGUAAAUCCGGUUCACUUUAACACUGAGGCGUGACGACGAGGCACUACGGUGCUGAAGCAACAAAUGCCCUGCUUCCAGGAAAAGCCUCUAAGCAUCAGGUAACAUCAAAUCGUACCCCAAACCGACACAGGUGGUCAGGUAGAGAAUACCAAGGCGCUUGAGAGAACUCGGGUGAAGGAACUAGGCAAAAUGGUGCCGUAACUUCGGGAGAAGGCACGCUGACACGUAGGUGAAGUGAUUUACUCAUGGAGCUGAAGUCAGUCGAAGAUACCAGCUGGCUGCAACUGUUUAUUAAAAACACAGCACUGUGCAAACACGAAAGUGGACGUAUACGGUGUGACGCCUGCCCGGUGCCGGAAGGUUAAUUGAUGGGGUCAGCGCAAGCGAAGCUCCUGAUCGAAGCCCCGGUAAACGGCGGCCGUAACUAUAACGGUCCUAAGGUAGCGAAAUUCCUUGUCGGGUAAGUUCCGACCUGCACGAAUGGCGUAAUGAUGGCCAGGCUGUCUCCACCCGAGACUCAGUGAAAUUGAACUCGCUGUGAAGAUGCAGUGUACCCGCGGCAAGACGGAAAGACCCCGUGAACCUUUACUAUAGCUUGACACUGAACAUUGAGCCUUGAUGUGUAGGAUAGGUGGGAGGCUUUGAAGUGUGGACGCCAGUCUGCAUGGAGCCGACCUUGAAAUACCACCCUUUAAUGUUUGAUGUUCUAACGUGGACCCGUUACCCGGGUUGCGGACAGUGUCUGGUGGGUAGUUUGACUGGGGCGGUCUCCUCCUAAAGAGUAACGGAGGAGCACGAAGGUUGGCUAAUCCUGGUCGGACAUCAGGAGGU
Molecule: ribosomal RNA, 1316 nt
Filed under: Salmonella enterica
Lineage: Bacteria; Pseudomonadati; Pseudomonadota; Gammaproteobacteria; Enterobacterales; Enterobacteriaceae
Description: partial 23S ribosomal RNA
Rfam family: Bacterial large subunit ribosomal RNA
Source: RNAcentral